GUCAAGUGAUGAAAAUCGUGCGUUAUGAGGUCCACUGGAAGUAAACCAGAGUAUUUCAUUUUGUCUGUAAUCUUGAUGAGUAUGUCGCAGACUGCAUACUCAUUGUAAGGCCGGACAUAGACUAAGGGGGCAGGAUUGCGACCCCUGGGUCGUAGGUAUGACCCUGGGGCAUCGCCCCUAGCCCAACAGAGAUGGGGGGGGAAACGGGUGGGGAUUUUUUUUUUUUUUUCAAACCGGUGACCUAUGACCUUCAUCUUUAGUAAUCUGAUGACA
Molecule: small nucleolar RNA, 273 nt
Organism: Pecten maximus
Lineage: Eukaryota; Metazoa; Mollusca; Bivalvia; Pectinida; Pectinidae
Source: RefSeq, a predicted model, not a curated record